This 402-nucleotide ribosomal RNA is filed under the name uncultured Paracoccus sp. RNAcentral's name for it is "bacterial SSU rRNA". It matches the Rfam family "Bacterial small subunit ribosomal RNA", at positions 353 to 772 of the family's 1533-position model. The record is from RNAcentral. Lineage: Bacteria; Pseudomonadati; Pseudomonadota; Alphaproteobacteria; Rhodobacterales; Paracoccaceae.
AGUGGGGAAUCUUAGACAAUGGGGGCAACCCUGAUCUAGCCAUGCCGCGUGAGUGAUGAAGGCCUUAGGGUUGUAAAGCUCUUUCAGCUGGGAAGAUAAUGACGGUACCAGCAGAAGAAGCCCCGGCUAACUCCGUGCCAGCAGCCGCGGUAAUACGGAGGGGGCUAGCGUUGUUCGGAAUUACUGGGCGUAAAGCGCACGUAGGCGGAUCGGACAGUCGGGGGUGAAAUCCCGGGGCUCAACCCCGGAACUGCCUUCGAAACUAUCGGUCUGGAGUUCGAGAGAGGUGAGUGGAAUUCCGAGUGUAGAGGUGAAAUUCGUAGAUAUUCGGAGGAACACCAGUGGCGAAGGCGGCUCACUGGCUCGAUACUGACGCUGAGGUGCGAAAGCGUGGGGAGCAAA